Molecule: ribosomal RNA, 180 nt
Filed under: uncultured Glomeromycotina
Lineage: Eukaryota; Fungi; Glomeromycota
Description: partial small subunit ribosomal RNA
Rfam family: Eukaryotic small subunit ribosomal RNA
Source: RNAcentral
GGAUCAGUAUGUUGGUCAUGCCUUGGUAUGUACUGGUGUCACUGAUUCCUCCCUUCUGACGAACCUUCAUGCCAUUCACUUGGUGUGAUGGGAAAUCAGGACUGUUACUUUGAAAAAAUUAGAGUGUUCAAAGCAGGCAUUUGCUCGAAUACAUUAGCAUGGAAUAAUAGAAUAGGACCC